UCCCAGUCAGGGCACAUGCUUCGGCUGUGGGCCAGAAAGCAGAAACAUAAACCAUCUGGGAAACUGGAAACAUUAAAUUCUAAAGGAGCCAGGAGCUGAGGUAGUUGCACAUGCAUGGCCAGGCACUAUUUUGGCACCAGCCAUAAAUUCUACUACAAAUGUUCUCAAGAAAUGAUAAGGAAUAUAUUCUAUAAUAAUAAAGGAAACCAAAUGAAACUAAUUUGAAUGAGGUCUGCUGUUGGUAAUGCAAAAAAGACUGCCUUCAAGAAGAGCGACCAGGCGUGAAAACGCAAUGCAACUCCAGGUUUUAAGGGCAGAUACAGAAUAUCCCCAAAAAGGGGCAAAGAGGGGAGAGUAUGUCAGGGGAGUCAGCAUCUCAUGAUGCCUUUAAGGACGAAGUUCUAAUUCUAGGAAAACAAAAC
Molecule: long non-coding RNA, 422 nt
Organism: Phyllostomus discolor (pale spear-nosed bat)
Lineage: Eukaryota; Metazoa; Chordata; Mammalia; Chiroptera; Phyllostomidae
Exons: 4
Source: RefSeq, a predicted model, not a curated record